Molecule: long non-coding RNA, 578 nt
Organism: Clupea harengus (Atlantic herring)
Lineage: Eukaryota; Metazoa; Chordata; Actinopteri; Clupeiformes; Clupeidae
Gene: ppp6r2a
Exons: 3
Source: RefSeq, a predicted model, not a curated record
GGUGCCUCAGACAGCAGCAGCUCCGGAGGCUCCGACAGCGAGGAGGAGGGAGAGGAGGCGCGCAGCGGAGACAAGACUGCCGCCAAGAGUGAGGUACAGGUGCCCAUAGAGAAGCUGAGUGUGUCGGACAGCCCCAAGAAGAAAGAGUCAGGAGCAACACCCCAGCCCUCCCGAGAAACCGCCCCUGCCUCAGCCUCUGAGAACAUCACUGUGACAGACAAGAAAGCUGAAUGGCCCUCAUCAGGAGGGGUGACGCCCAAUGGGCCAGUCUGAACUGGGUAGUGAGAGGAGGGUUGAGGGAGGGGGAGGGGAGGCCCUCUCUUCACCCAGCCCUUCACAGACCCACCACCUCCUCCACCUCCACCACCACCUUUCUCUGUCUGCUUCCGUCUGUCCUCCCCGUGGAAAAACAAAACAAAAGGAAAAGAAACCUUGAUGCCACUGCUGGUGUUUGGCUCAACCACGCGGUCACACCAAUGGGCCUGGACACUGCCAAUCAGCCACUAUCCGUGGAGGAGAGGAGAGGAAGCCGGAGCGCCGUCGUGUGACCCUUUGACCCCUGACCCCCAAUGACCUUC